GCUUCUAUAGUAUAAUGGCUAGUACGCGAGACUUGUAAUCUUGAAAUCCGUGUUCGAUUCACGGUAGAAGCA
Molecule: transfer RNA, 72 nt
Filed under: Dishui Lake phycodnavirus 3
Lineage: Varidnaviria; Bamfordvirae; Nucleocytoviricota; Megaviricetes; Algavirales; Phycodnaviridae
Rfam family: tRNA
About the family: Transfer RNA (tRNA) molecules are approximately 80 nucleotides in length. Their secondary structure includes four short double-helical elements and three loops (D, anti-codon, and T loops).
Source: Rfam by way of RNAcentral